AUGUAUAUGAUUGGUGCAAUAAAUAACUCAAAUUUUAAUACAAUUCGGAAGUCGAAAAGCUAAUGGGGUGUUGUUUUGAAAGUUGCACCCCUCCUCUUUCCUCCCUCCAUCUCAAUGGACCACCACUCCUUCUCGCUGAGGGUCGGCAUGUGGUGGUGGGCUCGAGCGAUAGAGGAGGAGGAAGAAGGAGGGAGCAUGUGGCUGCACGAGUGCAAGCAGUAGAGACGGAUGAAGAAGGGUCAGCGGUGGGGUUGCGAGAAGCCAAAUGGCAGAGAAGGAAGGAGGGAUGGAUUGAUGGUAUGGUUGCAGGAAGG
This 314-nucleotide long non-coding RNA is filed under the name Elaeis guineensis (African oil palm). RNAcentral describes it as "long non-coding RNA (EGUI_LNC002752)". The record is from RNAcentral. Lineage: Eukaryota; Viridiplantae; Streptophyta; Magnoliopsida; Arecales; Arecaceae.